Molecule: ribosomal RNA, 195 nt
Filed under: Rossellomorea vietnamensis
Lineage: Bacteria; Bacillati; Bacillota; Bacilli; Caryophanales; Bacillaceae
Description: Bacillus vietnamensis partial 16S ribosomal RNA
Rfam family: Bacterial small subunit ribosomal RNA
Source: RNAcentral
GAUCAGCAUGCCGCGGUGAAUACGUUCCCGGGCCUUGUACACACCGCCCGUCACACCACGAGAGUUUGUAACACCCGAAGUCGGUGAGGUAACCUUUUGGAGCCAGCCGCCUAAGGUGGGACAGAUGAUUGGGGUGAAGUCGUAACAAGGUAGCCGUAUCGGAAGGUGCGGCUGGAUCACCUCCUUUCUAAGGAA